ACCUGCGGUGCAUUAACUAGUUGGAAGGGUAACGGGCCUACCAAGGCGAUGAUGCAUAGCCGAGUUGAGAGACUGAUCGGCCACAUUGGGACUGAGACACGGCCCAAACUCCUACGGGAGGCAGCAGUAGGGAAUCUUCCACAAUGGACGCAAGUCUGAUGGAGCAACGCCGCGUGAGUGAAGAAGGGUUUCGGCUCGUAAAGCUCUGUUGUUGGUGAAGAAGGACAGGGGUAGUAACUAACCUUUGUUUGACGGUAAUCAAUUAGAAAGUCACGGCUAACUACGUGCCAGCAGCCGCGGUAAU
This 304-nucleotide ribosomal RNA is filed under the name uncultured Lactobacillus sp. RNAcentral's name for it is "bacterial SSU rRNA". It matches the Rfam family "Bacterial small subunit ribosomal RNA", at positions 229 to 524 of the family's 1533-position model. The record is from RNAcentral. Lineage: Bacteria; Bacillati; Bacillota; Bacilli; Lactobacillales; Lactobacillaceae.